RNAcentral lists this ribosomal RNA (273 nucleotides) under uncultured bacterium. Its description in RNAcentral is "partial 16S ribosomal RNA". It matches the Rfam family "Bacterial small subunit ribosomal RNA", at positions 524 to 796 of the family's 1533-position model. The record is from RNAcentral.
UACGUAUGGUGCACGCGUUAAUCGGAAUUACUGGGCGUAAAGCGUGCGCAGGCGGUUAUAUCAGACAGAUGUGAAAUCCCCGGGCUCAACCUGGGAACUGCAUUUGUGACUGUAUAGCUAGAGUACGGCAGAGGGGGAUGGAAUUCCGCGUUUAGCAGUGAAAUGCGUAGAUAUGCGGAGGAACACCGAUGGCGAAGGCAAUCCCCUGGGCCUGUACUGACGCUCAUGCAAGAAAGCGUGGGGAGAACACAGGAGGAGAUAACCCGGGAGUCC